Molecule: transfer RNA, 88 nt
Filed under: Acidocella sp. MX-AZ02
Lineage: Bacteria; Pseudomonadati; Pseudomonadota; Alphaproteobacteria; Acetobacterales; Acidocellaceae
Rfam family: tRNA
About the family: Transfer RNA (tRNA) molecules are approximately 80 nucleotides in length.
Source: Rfam by way of RNAcentral
GGACAGAUGGCCGAGCGGCUUAAGGCGCACGCUUGGAAAGCGUGUGUACGUUAAUAGCGUACCCAGGGUUCGAAUCCCUGUCUGUCCG